GGCCUCUACCCUUUAGAUGUCCACCCCAGAGUGGCAACCAAAGAUGUACCAUGGAGAACAGAAUUGUCUCCAGUUGAGGGCCGCUGCAGGAGAGAUUGAUUGAACCUAAGAAGGAAAAGAGAAUAAUGAAGAUGAGGAAUACAGAGCCACUGUUCUUGCAUUUAUUGUACAGUCCAGUGUUUCUGAGUCCUUCAGGAGGGUGAGGAGAGCCCGCAGGCUGCUGUGCACCUCUGCAACUUGCUUGUCCCAGGGUCGCAGCAAGUGGGGUGCAGAACACCACAGACUGCUUUGAGCAGAGCCCACUUCCUUCAUCCCGGAGAGCGUGAAGCCGUUACACCAACAUCAAUCAAGGGGAACCCACGGGCUGCACUCACACCGUUGAAGCAGGCGCUGAGCUGCGCUGUUUUGUUUCUUUCUCUUUUUAAAAUUCUUCUUCUUUUUCUUCUUCUUUUUUUUUUUAAAAAUUCUGAAGCCAGACCGUCUUGCCUCGCAGCACCAGGUGCUGCUUCGCCGUGGGCACGCCGAGCUCCCCCGGUUACCUGCGGCAUCUCCUGCCUGGGCUUCGCCAUGGUGCACCGGACCUGGACUCGCGAGUCUGCACGCUGCGCAAGGAGGACCUGCUGCUGGAGCUCUGGCCAGCGUCUCCUCGCACCUGGAUGCGGGGACUUGGGGGCCAGGGCGAAGCUGCGCAAGACUCAGGGUGGGAUGGCUAGGGAGGACGCAGAGGACCAGGAGGGGGAAGUUAGGAAUCCUACAUAA
This 759-nucleotide long non-coding RNA is filed under the name Chinchilla lanigera (long-tailed chinchilla). RNAcentral's name for it is "lncRNA (ENSCLAG00000025698.1)". Lineage: Eukaryota; Metazoa; Chordata; Mammalia; Rodentia; Chinchillidae. The record is from RNAcentral.